Molecule: ribosomal RNA, 497 nt
Filed under: uncultured bacterium
Lineage: Bacteria
Description: partial 16S ribosomal RNA
Rfam family: Bacterial small subunit ribosomal RNA
Source: RNAcentral
GAUGAACGCUGGCGGCGUGCCUAAUACAUGCAAGUCGAGCGAACCGAUGAGGAGCUUGCUCCUCUGACGUUAGCGGCGGACGGGUGAGUAAAACGUGGAUAACCUACCUAUUAGACUGGGAUAAAUUCGGGAAACCGGAGCUAAUAACCGAUAAUAUAUUGCAUCGCAUUGUUCAAUAGUGAAAGACGGUUUUGCUGUCACUUAUAGAUGGAUCCGCGCCGCAUUAGCUAGUUGGUAAGGUAACGGCUUACCAAGGCAACGAUGCGUAGACGACCCGAGAGGGGAGUCGGCCAGACGGGAACUGAGACACGGUCCAGACUCCAAGGGGGGGCAGCAGUAGGGAAUCUUCCGCAAGGGGGGAAAGCCUGACGGUGCAACGCCGCAUAAUGAAUGAAGGUCUUAGGAUGUUAAAACUCUGUUAUUAGGAAAGAACAAAUGUGUUAGUAACUAUGCACGUCUUGACGGUACCGGAUCAGAAAGCCACGGCUAACUACGUG